ACGUAGGGUGCAAGCGUUGUCCGGAAUCAUUGGGCGUAAAGAGCGUGUAGGCGGCCCGAUCAGUCCGCUGUAAAAGUCCAGGGCUCAACCCUGGGAGGCCGGUGGAUACUGUCGGGCUAGAGUCCGGAAGAGGCGAGUGGAAUUCCUGGUGUAGCGGUGAAAUGCGCAGAUAUCAGGAGGAACACCAAUGGCGAAGGCAGCUCGCUGGGACGGUACUGACGCUGAGACGCGAAAGCGUGGGGAGCAAACAGGAUUAGAUACCCUGGUAGUCCACGCUGUAAACGAUGGGCACUAGGUGCGGGAGGUGUCGACUCCUCCCGUGCCGAAGCUAACGCAUUAAGUGCCCCGCCUGGGGAGUACGGCCGCAAGGCUA
This 373-nucleotide ribosomal RNA is filed under the name uncultured bacterium. RNAcentral describes it as "bacterial SSU rRNA". It matches the Rfam family "Bacterial small subunit ribosomal RNA", at positions 525 to 896 of the family's 1533-position model. The record is from RNAcentral.